This is a non-coding RNA of Rhodopseudomonas palustris, 70 nucleotides long. Lineage: Bacteria; Pseudomonadati; Pseudomonadota; Alphaproteobacteria; Hyphomicrobiales; Nitrobacteraceae. The record is from Rfam.
GCGGGUGUAGCUCGAGGGUUGAGCAACAGUUUCCAAACUGGAGGCGUGGGUUCGAUUCCCUCCAUCCGCU